CUACGGGGCGCUCCAGUGAGGAAUAUUGCACAAUGGGGGGAACCCUGAUGCAGCAACGCCGCGUGGAGGAUGACGCAUUUCGGUGUGUAAACUCCUUUUAUAUGUCAAGAAAAUGACGGUAGCAUAUGAAUAAGCACCGGCUAACUCCGUGCCAGCAGCCGCGGUAAUACGGGGGGUGCAAGCGUUACUCGGAAUCACUGGGCGUAAAGGACGCGUAGGCGGGUUGGAAAGUCAGGUGUGAAAUCCUACAGCUUAACUGUAGAACUGCACUUGAAACUUCUAAUCUAGAGUCUGGGAGGGGGAGAUGGAAUUAGUGGUGUAGGGGUAAAAUCCGUAGAUAUCACUAGGAAUACCUAAAGCGAAGGCGAUCUCCUGGAACAUUACUGACGCUAAGGCGUGAAAGCGUGGGGAGCAGACAGGAUUAGAUACCCCAGUAGUC
RNAcentral lists this ribosomal RNA (439 nucleotides) under uncultured bacterium. RNAcentral describes it as "partial 16S ribosomal RNA". It matches the Rfam family "Bacterial small subunit ribosomal RNA", at positions 339 to 795 of the family's 1533-position model. The record is from RNAcentral.